GCAAAUGUAUACUAUGUAAGGAUACUGCACAUGACACUGUACUUGAUCAACAACUGAAGAUUAUGUCUGCAAUAGUUCUAAAGAAACGAAUAAACUUUGGAGUUAUCCUAUUCGAUCAAAUCUCAAAAUGGGUGGAAAAGGCUGAGUUGAAGAAGUCUACAGAAAAACCACUUACAAAGGUGUUUCAUGGAAGAUUGCUGAGUAUUGUGAUGAAGAAAAGGCUGGGAAGCAAGAUCAAGGAUGAUGAGGGAGAACCCUUGAAUGUUCACAAAGUAAUGUCUCCACAACUGUUCGUGAAUUGGAAGAAAAACCCGAAGGAGAAU
RNAcentral lists this long non-coding RNA (323 nucleotides) under Panax ginseng (ginseng). Its description in RNAcentral is "long non-coding RNA (PGIN_LNC015002)". The record is from RNAcentral. Lineage: Eukaryota; Viridiplantae; Streptophyta; Magnoliopsida; Apiales; Araliaceae.